Molecule: small RNA, 252 nt
Filed under: Pan troglodytes (chimpanzee)
Lineage: Eukaryota; Metazoa; Chordata; Mammalia; Primates; Hominidae
Description: retained intron
Source: RNAcentral
AGGAAAACUCACUACCAUGAGAAUUGCAGUGAUUUGCUUUUGCCUCCUAGGCAUCACCUGUGCCCUACCAGUUAAACAGGCUGAUUCUGGAAGUUCUGAGGAAAAGCAGCUUUACAACAAAUACCCAGAUGCUGUGGCCACAUGGCUAAACCCUGACCCAUCUCAGAAGCAGAAUCUCCUAGCCCCACAGGUAUUUUUAAACUUCUCAUAAUUAAACUACAGUGAUGAAAGAUAGCCACACUCAGGCCAUUU